Ruditapes philippinarum (Manila clam) is the source of this 874-nucleotide long non-coding RNA. RefSeq lists it as uncharacterized. The record is from RefSeq and is a predicted model, not a curated record. The transcript has 3 exons. Lineage: Eukaryota; Metazoa; Mollusca; Bivalvia; Venerida; Veneridae.
UUCAAUGACUAGCUAAAUCAGUUCUUAAAUUUCAGACCAAUGUAUCUAUUCUCUUUGGUAUCUAUAUUUUAAGGUUGAUAUUUGGAGUAAUUUUAUUUCAAAAGUGUGGACCUUUUAACAGAAAAAACAACAACAAAAACAACAACAUUUUGGUCAGAAUUGUGUUCAGAAUGGAUGGCUCCAAAGAUGUUCCGGAUGAGACAAUUUCUUUUAAAGACAGACGGGCUAGGUUCGAAAAAGAAAAAAUGCAACACAAAAGAUGAAUGAGGAGGAAUCAAACAGUACUUCAGAUGAGAAGAUGUUUGUAAAAAAAAGGGUGGAGAUGUUCGAAAAAAGUCAUGCAACACCAAAGAAUGAAAAACGUGUUCAACGCUUGCAGUCUGGUUUUGAUGACAGUUUAAAAUUAGCAAGAGAUUCGAAAACGUCUUCAAAACAAGUGAUGGAAACAAAGCAUUUGAAAACAGUAUGUAUCGUAUGAAUAAAGCCUAAAUGCAAAGGUAAGGUUGAUGUAAAUGAUUUAUAAAAAGACCUGAAAGAGAAGUUAACAAACCUAAACAAAGCUACUUUGUAUUUUGUGCUCCGCUUAGCAUAACUGGAAGAGCAUCGAAUUUAGGGUCAAUAGUUCGAUAUUGGGGCAAGGCGAAUUUCUCUGUGACAACCGAUUUCGUACAUUGAGUCUAAUAAUAAUUGUCUCUCACCUAUCAUGUGAGAUGAGUAGUUGGUCAGUUGCGGAGAAGUUGAAAACAUGAUAAAAGACGGUUAAGUAGAUCAACCAAAAUAAUGUGUUAAAUUGGCGUAAAAACAGAAAAAUAGAAAGACAGAAACAAACUUUGUAUUCUGCAACACUGUCGUAUUGAUUUUUAAUUUUUCUUUA